GGGGGCGUAAUGGUUUCGACGGGGGAAUUGGUGGCAGGAGUAGCGAGCCGGGGUUCCAUCUGCCCGCAAUACGGUGGAAAACAUUUAAUUGCCAACAACGAAUACGCUUUAGCUGCUUAAUUGCAGAUAACGUCUCACCCGCGUUGGGCCCGUGGCCUGGGCUGAGGCGUCAUUUAAACGGGCUUGCUUUUAAGCCAAUUCUCGGAGGCUUAAAGGGACUCUCAUCGAGAUAGCACCUGCGGAGGUUGACUGUGGCCGCCAAGGGCGCGAAAUCUAAAUCAUAGUCUGCGCUCGGAGAGACUCCUGUGGUCGUUCUUUCGGACGGUGGGUUCGACUCCCCCCGCCUCCACCA
Molecule: transfer-messenger RNA, 352 nt
Filed under: Desulfocucumaceae
Lineage: Bacteria; Bacillati; Bacillota; Clostridia; Eubacteriales
Description: Desulfocucumis sp000961595 Standard tmRNA
Rfam family: transfer-messenger RNA
About the family: Bacterial tmRNA, also known as 10Sa RNA or SsrA, is named for its dual tRNA and mRNA-like properties. Its role is to liberate the mRNA from a stalled ribosome. To accomplish this part of the tmRNA is used as a reading frame that ends in a translation stop signal.
Source: RNAcentral